GCUCACCAUGUGCAUUGCCACUGCCUAUAUGUAUCACCAACCAAAAACUCUUAGUAAAAUUGGAAAUAUCAUCAACAGUUACCAUAUUUUAUUUUCAAAAGAUGUAAUGCUUUUUUUACUAAUUAUUUUAUAUUUUUAAUUUAUUAGUGUGAAUAAAAAGUUAUCAAUUUUAUGGAUGUGUGUCAAUAUUGAUGAAUAUGAUUGCGGGUCUUCUAUUUAAUUUAUCAGUUACAAUUAGUUAUUGAUAGUCAACAGUCAAUAAUUAAAUUUCGACUAUUAGUAUUAGCAAUUGGGGAGUUAAAAAGCUGACAACUGAAAAUUUUAGGGUCUGUUAUAAAUUGUGAAAAAUUGAGAUAAUAUUUUAGAAAAUGUUAUAAGAAGGUUGGAAAACAAAGUUUUGUAUUAAGCAUGUCAGUUUUUUAUAUAGAGAAUUGGAAAAUUAAUUUUUUACUUUUUUAAAAUUUAAUUAAAAUUUGG
RNAcentral lists this unclassified non-coding RNA (477 nucleotides) under Hevea brasiliensis (rubber tree). The record is from RNAcentral. Lineage: Eukaryota; Viridiplantae; Streptophyta; Magnoliopsida; Malpighiales; Euphorbiaceae.